GCUUUCUCCUUGCUUUUGAGCAGCAGAGACGGGAUUGAGCCCGUAAAUCGGCCUCCCAGGAUUUCUUUGUAGGGAGAUACCGUGUCCCGCUCCCCCAAGCAACAAAAUAAAUGGGGGCGGGAAAAUAAAUACCGUGUCCCGCUCCCCCAAGCAACAAAAUAAAUUUAUCGAUUGAUAAAUUGAUAAUCCUGAUGGGUAAGAAAAAAUUGGAAAUGUGGCUUUCCCCCCUCUUUUGAGUGCGGAGAAUGUGGACUUGCCGGUGCACGUUACAAUAGCAACAAACUUUUGAACUAUAACUCCCGAGAUGGUUUGGGGGAUACCGUCGUGAUCGCUAAGACUUAUGGGAGUUGAAGUCAUGGAAUCGUAUAAGAUUUAGCCCAACCAAGUAUGGAUUUAACUAUUUAUUAUUAAGGACAGAAAGCGUGACGUCACCAAGCAUUGGACUGACAUUGAAAAAAUGUAAAAAAAAAAAAAAAAGUAAAGGCCAAUCAUACUGUGAUUUGUUGUUGUUUUUUCAAAAAUAUUACCUCCUUCCAAAGCUGGCUGAGGAAUUCUGGGAGUUGAAGUCCACAAGUCUUAAAGUUGCCAAGGUUGAGAACCCCUGCUUUUUCCAGAUGAAGAAGUGGUGUUUUGUAUAAUCUCAGAGGCACCCUUGCCCAGCCAUCAGCUCUUUUAGAUGUAGCAUAGUGGAGCGAGAGACGCAAGUCAAUCUUCUGACUCCGAGGAUUCGGAACAGUUCUGUUAAUAUUUUUUAUACCCUGUCUGCUUUUUGAGAGUUUAAAUGCAGAUGGCCGUAUCUUUUCCCGGAUUUCGCAUUACUGUUGAAAAUGUUCGUAAACAUCUCCAUAGUUUUUCCAUUGAAAAAGUGGUUACCUUUUCCCCUCGAGGCAGUGGUAGAAUUGUACAAUUGUUUGAUAAUCAUUUAUUGAACAUUUAUGCCACCCAAAGCUUAAGAGGCCUAGACGAGCUGAUACUGCCUUUUAAAAUGCUAAUAAUAAUGCUAAUAAAAUUUGAGGCAAUAAAAUAACCACACAGGGUCUCUCGCGUGGGUGAACAUCCUGCAUGUGUUAAUCCCCAAAGGACUCCUUCUUUUGAAGCACAAUGUCUUCCCCAAAUUGUUCGAAGGUCAUCAACUCAGAUGACAAGGCAGAGCGUUGCAGAUCAAGGCGGCUUGCAUCAAGGCGACAAGCUAGUUUGGAGGGGAGAUUUAUGUGGAACAUUCAAGAGCAAGGGAUAAUUAGCUUUUGAAAAGCUAAUUCUGGCACAUGUGUGAGAAGUAUUGAAGAUGGAGAGCAUUAUAGCGACUUAUUGACUGGAUUUUUCCACAGGAAUCCUGCCUGCCUUCAUAAGCUGGUUCCAUGGUUAAAACAUGCGUAUGACGAGCAUGCAAAUUAUGACUGUCUGGCUCCAUCACGUGAAGACGGAAGCAACUCUGAGUCUUCUAUUAUUACCAUCUCUCCCAAUGAGACUGAAACCCAGGCACCAGAAGUUAAUGCUUUCAGAAGUGAUACAGGCCAGGCACCCUAGGAUGAUGAAACGCCUGACCCAAAAAUGUGCAGUAUUCUGACAGCACCAUGAUUUGAAAAGGAAGAAGAAACAUCACCGCAGGGGAAAACAAAACAAAAAAUAAAAGAGAUGGCAGUAAACAUAAGCACACAGCCCAAAUUAUAGAAUGGAGACUUUUUUUGAAUAAAUACAUAGCCGGUAUUCCAGAGCCGAUGUUGAAAGUAGGCCUUUCAAUGAAUUUAAUGGAUUUCUAUUUUUGAUCUAGAAUUUUAAUUUGUAUACCUGCCCACUUGCAUAUGACUUGCGAGGGUCAGGGGGCUUAACAAAAGUUAAAAACAAUUGUAAACAAUAAUCCAAACUGUUGUGCUUGGGAAAAGGGGAAUCACAAUAAGGACAUUCAAACUUGAGUUUUGAGUUUGACAUUCAAGCCACUCAUAUAUGCCAGAUGUAAAAACAAAGAUCAUCUGUUAGUAACUAAUUGAAAGGUUCCGUUUCUGUGGUGCCAUUCUAUCAUUAUUACUGUCAACUGCAAUUACAACAGAAGAUAUUGAGAGGAAUUGGUAGGAUUUUUAUCAGACUUAAUUCUUUUUUUUUGUCACACCGUGUUGUAUCAGUGACUUUCCCUUAAUAAAUUAUCUCAAUGCUUGGGCUUCUUGACUGUUUUUUCUUUUCUGAUUGAAUUUGCCUGUUUACGCUAGCUGCCUUUCUGCAAAUGGCUGGGCGCUUUGGUAAAAAUUUCUUCAGAG
Long non-coding RNA from Crotalus tigris (Tiger rattlesnake), 2252 nucleotides. RefSeq lists it as uncharacterized. The record is from RefSeq and is a predicted model, not a curated record. The transcript is spliced from 2 exons. Lineage: Eukaryota; Metazoa; Chordata; Lepidosauria; Squamata; Viperidae.